AACUUGGACAUGGACUGCUCUGAAUCGUGCUGAUUAGCUCUGAUAAGUAUUUAUAAUACAGUUGUGAUGAUAAGAACGCCGGGAGAUAAUGCUAAAAGAGAAAUUAACGCAGUUAUCGAUUUUAAUUACUUCCAGCUAUAAGAAUCUUUAUAAAAUAACAAUCGGAAGCAAAAUGCAAACCUCCAUGAAGUAAAAGAAUGCUGUCUCAUUAUACAAUAUAUCUACUAACUGUACAUUGCCACUGUUUACAAUUUACAUGAUGCAGAUUUACAAGACAGAGUCAAUUUCUAAACGUGUGUUAACCGAACAAUGUUAACGAUGCCUAUUUGAAUGAUGACGUGAUCGGUAGGCAUGCGAAAAUUCUUGAUGACUGAAGCAAGCAAGUAAAUGUAUCAUUGAUUUCUUUCUCUCUCUCUCUUAUUGCGUAUAUACAUAUAAAGUAUAUAUAUAUAUAUAUAUAUAUUUGUGUGUGUGUGUGUGUACAUCUACGAGACGUGCGUCUUGAAAGCUGAUUGUCAAGGUAGAACGCGUAGAAUGCGAGAGGGCAACGGCCGGGCAUCGUACUCUUGGCGGAGCCCAAUCGUGAAGCGAUGCGAAGCGACGGGAAAGCACUUUAAGAGGUGACGGAGAAGCUGUCUCCAUACUGUGCGUAUACCGGUUUGUCCACGUGAAUGUGGACAAACUUAUGUCCGUCUAUACGGACUAUAAACCGGCCCGUUCGGAAGGCCGAUGUAAGUUCCCAUGUGUCGGAUCCCCGCCGUAAGCAAGCGCCGGUCUUAACGGGUCCGUAGCUUCCGUCGUUGUGCAUUUUUCAAUUGCCCCGCGUGAGGAUCGAUCGCGAGAAAUCACGACGAUGAUGACAAUCGUCAUGCUCGCUCUACUCGUUAUCGUAGUUAGUUAUUACAUCGUCGCGGCGACGCCCGUGCAGACCAAGGUUUACGAUCAACGGCAGACAGGUGAUCUGAACGUCCAGGUAGAUCUGAAGGACGUGCACGUUGUCGCGCUGAUCAACUCCGAGCUCUUGGAGGAUUACAUGGAUUACGAUUACUUCUACGACUACGCCGACUUUACCAUCAAACCAUCGAAUAACGACAAACCCGGCGCGAAUUUCACAACCACCGAAAAAAAUGAUAUUACGGAAAUUUCCGAGCUUUUUUCGUUUUCGAAAAAUUCAACCGUUUCAAUAUCUCCGGAUACCACAAAUUCGACCGAGCGAUUUAUAGCGGACGCUGCGAGCUCGACAUCAAACGCAAAUAAUAAUAAUAAUAAAGAUUGGUUGAGUGAAGAGAAUAACAAUCAGUCUUCAGCAGUAGUUGUCGUUUCCUCGAACAUGGCAAAACCCACACAAGUGCGAUCGCAAAAGCGUUGUAAAUCUGGAUACAUCCCUACCGGCAACGGACAGUGUCGACGAGCGAGUCGACCAUUGUCGUGGUUGUUACCAGGACAUCGUAUAAUAAGGCGUUCCGGAAAUCGUUGGAAACGAAGAUCGUUUCCAGAAGCAAGCGGUGGGGUGUGAUUCUCAGCGCAGAGGCGGAAGCGCGAUGAAGAGAAAGAGAGAGCAAGGGCAAGGUUACGGUAAUAGGCGCCAGGCCGCAAAAGAUCGGGGAAACGAACUCAUCGCAAACGGCCACGGUAGGACAUUGCCCUUUACAAAGAUCGGUUACUACGGAUGUGUGCACACUUGUAUACACUCGUGUCGUCGCGCAAUAACUAUUGCGUUCUGUCUUUAACGUCUCAUCGUGUUCUCCGUCUCUCUUCUCCUGUUGCUCUUUUCUCUCGAAAUAAAACUGGUUAUCGCAACGGAAUAAACACACAAUACACUUCGCUGUUUUUCGUUUCCAGAACCGACCGGAGGAAGCCUCGAAGGUUCGGAUCGCUCAGGUGGGGGAUCGGAAUCGUCUGCUGGAAUACGAGACAUCGCCCGAUCGUCACACCUCGGGCAUCCUCCGUGUCGUCCGGACACGUCCCACGUUCUUCAACGUCGUUUCCCUCCGCCCUCCACUGAAGUGAUCGGUUCGACAAAUAACCGAACGAGUUCGCGAUCGGUAUCGAAAUUGAAUACGAAGCAUUUUAGCGAGAGUUUGCAUUGAGUUUAUGUUCGAAAAUACAGUAAAAGAUAUACUUGGACGGAUUUUGUAAGCAAAAGUAUCGAAUAAUAAAAAGUGACCUUGACAGAUUCGCUUGAUUUGUAAUUGAGUUGAAGAAACAACUCGCAUCAGAGCAGCCGUUCAAUGUUAUCGAUCAAUAUGCGCAUUUUUAAGACCGUGUUGCUCAUCGCAUCUUUCGCGAGCGUUCGGUGCUUACCCGUCACCGAGUCCACGGUCGGGACAACCGAAACCAAGGUUGAAGUCACUUCGCUGGUUCCGCAAGAAGAGACAGUCGCGACUACGACAAACGGACCGCUGCCCACGCCUGCCGACAUCACUGAUUAUUACGAUCAGCGGCAGAACGGAAGCGAGAAUUACCGCAUCCACGUAGACGGUGUGGUGCUUGUGUUCGCACCGGUCGAAGCGCUGCUUUUGGCUGGUGCCGCCAGCACUACCGAGCCUAAUUUAUCAAUAUCCAAUCUGUCAAACGCAUCCUCGUUACUAUCAUUCAACGAACUGACCAAACCCGGAUUUACUGGCAUCCAGAACAAAACCGAUCCGGCAAUUUCAAAAACUAUUAAUAAAUCGGGUUUACGAUUGAUGAAUUUCUUGACACCUUUAAUACGUCGCAUACGUCAUGAUCGAGUCACGAGCGUGCAUUGAACUCUUCAACACUCGCACCCUUGACACGCACAUUCUGCACACAGUAUAUAUUCGAAAUAUGGUAUUUUUUGUAUUCUCAAAAAUAAAUAAUCAUUGCGUGUAGGUCGAAAAAAACUUGUUUGCACAGAACACAGAUAUGAUUUUUUUAAGAUGAAAAUUAAAAACAAAUUAUGCAUUGCAGGGAUAGAAAUCUGCAUUUACAGGGAUGACGGUUAUGCAUACGUAAUAUAAGGUAUAUUUGAUCGAAGAUCGAUCUGAUGUCGUACCACAUCGCAUUUAUAUAGUGUCUAGUAUCUCAUCAAACAAAUUGAUUUAUUAAUGUAAUUAAGCAAAGUUUUUUUUGGCUCAUUUUAAAAUGGCUUUUUUAGUAUCUUAAGAAUAAUUUUGUUGACAUUUUUUCUUUAUAACAAAGCGCUCGAUUAAAUAAUAAUCUCCACAUAUAUCUUUAUAUAUAUUAGAAUAUUGUGAUUCUCUUGCAUCGGAGAGAGAAAACAAUUGAGAGCGUCGCGCUUGCAUGGUAAUAUUUAAUAUUGUGUUAUGUGUAUAUAAAAACAGUUAUGUAUACACGUAAUAUAUAAAUACGAUGCAUUUGUGUCUUGAUAUGAAAAUUUAUUUGAUUAAACGUUAAAAUACAUAUGCGUUUCUUUUUGGUAUAUCAUUACAAUAUCUCUGAUAAAAUGCUUAAAACUAUAUAUUCUUCGCGUCCCUGAAACCUUUCGCUCUUUGAUUAAAACAAAAAAAACCUCAUCUAAAAUUAUUACAAUACAUUUUAACUUUGGUUUCACUCUCUGAGCAACUUAGCUAAGUUCUAUGAGAACAAAUAUAAAUUCUAUAAAUUCCUACAAAUGGUAAUAUGUAUAUUUACAGGUUUAGAUAAAAGAAAACAAUUUUGUACGUCAAAAAGUACUCGUCUGAGAGUUUUGAUAUUCUAUAUUCAAUACUUUUAAUAAAAAUAAGUUGUAUACAACAAAUCAACUAGGAUUUUGGUAAGUAUUUUUAGGAAAAUCGGUUACUCGACACUUUCAUUGUAGUUCAUAAAGAAACAAAACCACAAAAAAAUUUGAAGAAACUAACAUAGAAUAUUUAAAGUCCUCAGAUGACGAUAUAUCUGCUACAUUUUGUCAAGCAUCUUUCUAUCAUUUCGUUCUGUAUAUUCUGAAACUUUUUUUUUUAUAAAAUAUUUCAUUAUUUUUUCUUAUUUGUCACAUUGUGAUUACAAUGAUAUAGAAGUAUUUUUAUGAUUGAAGACACAAGAUAAAAGACUCCAAAUCUAUAUUCUUUCUUAUUUUAAAUUAUGUCAUAAAAGUAUAUAUAUAUGUGUGUGUGUGUGUGUGUGUAUAUAUGUGUGUG
This is an RNA transcript of Pseudomyrmex gracilis, 4100 nucleotides long. RefSeq lists it as uncharacterized. The record is from RefSeq and is a predicted model, not a curated record. Lineage: Eukaryota; Metazoa; Arthropoda; Insecta; Hymenoptera; Formicidae. The transcript is spliced from 7 exons.